MicroRNA precursor from Jaculus jaculus (lesser Egyptian jerboa), 91 nucleotides. The record is from Ensembl. NCBI's taxonomy places the organism in Eukaryota, Metazoa, Chordata, Mammalia, Rodentia, Dipodidae.
GGCGGCGGCGCGGGCGGCAGUGGCGGGAGCGGCCCCUCGGCCAUCCUCCGUCUGCCCAGUUACCGCUUCCGCUACCGCCGCCGCUCCCGCU